CCUACCGGGAGGCAGCAGUGGGGAAUUUUGGACAAUGGGCGCAAGCCUGAUCCAGCAAUGCCGCGUGAGUGAAGAAGGCCUUCGGGUUGUAAAGCUCUUUUGUCAGGGAAGAAACGGUGAGGGCUAAUAUCCUUUGCUAAUGACGGUACCUGAAGAAUAAGCACCGGCUAACUACGUGCCAGCAGCCGCGGUAAUACGUAGGGUGCAAGCGUUAAUCGGAAUUACUGGGCGUAAAGCGUGCGCAGGCGGUUUUUGAAGUCCUGUCGUGAAAUCCCCGGGGCUCAACCUGGGAAUUG
RNAcentral lists this ribosomal RNA (296 nucleotides) under uncultured bacterium. Its description in RNAcentral is "partial 16S ribosomal RNA". It matches the Rfam family "Bacterial small subunit ribosomal RNA", at positions 338 to 623 of the family's 1533-position model. The record is from RNAcentral.